UACGGGGGGGGCAAGCGUUGUCCGGUAUUAUUGGGCGUAAAGGGCUCGUAGGCGGUUUGUCGCGUCGGGAGUGAAAACUCAGGGCUUAACCCUGAGCCUGCUUCCGAUACGGGCAGACUAGAGGUAUGCAGGGGAGAACGGAAUUCCUGGUGUAGCGGUGAAAUGCGCAGAUAUCAGGAGGAACACCGGUGGCGAAGGCGGUUCUCUGGGCAUUACCUGACGCUGAGGAGCGAAAGUGCGGGGAGCGAACAGG
RNAcentral lists this ribosomal RNA (253 nucleotides) under uncultured bacterium. Its description in RNAcentral is "partial 16S ribosomal RNA". It matches the Rfam family "Bacterial small subunit ribosomal RNA", at positions 524 to 776 of the family's 1533-position model. The record is from RNAcentral.